RNAcentral lists this ribosomal RNA (532 nucleotides) under uncultured Bacteroidales bacterium. Its description in RNAcentral is "bacterial SSU rRNA". It matches the Rfam family "Bacterial small subunit ribosomal RNA", at positions 28 to 551 of the family's 1533-position model. The record is from RNAcentral. Lineage: Bacteria; Pseudomonadati; Bacteroidota; Bacteroidia; Bacteroidales.
GAUGAACGCUANGCGGUAGCUAACACAUGCAAGUCGAGGGGCAUCGGGAUUGAAGCUUGCUUCAAUUGCCGGCGACCGGCGCACGGGUGCGUAACGCGUAUGUGACCUAUCUAUAACAGGGGCAUAACACUGAGAAAUUGGUACUAAUUCCCCAUAAUAUUCGGAGAGGCAUCUCUCCGGGUUGAAAACUCCGGUGGUUAUAGAUGGACAUGCGUUGUAUUAGCUAGUUGGUGAGGUAACGGCUCACCAAGGCAACGAUACAUAGGGGGACUGAGAGGUUAACCCCCCACACUGGUACUGAGACACGGACCAGACUCCUACGGGAGGCAGCAGUGAGGAAUAUUGGUCAAUGGACGCAAGUCUGAACCAGCCAUGCCGCGUGCAGGAAGACGGCUCUAUGAGUUGUAAACUGCUUUUGUACGAGGGUAAGCUCACCUACGUGUAGGUGACUGAAAGUAUCGUACGAAUAAGGAUCGGCUAACUCCGUGCCAGCAGCCGCGGUAAUACGGAGGAUUCAAGCGUUAUCCGGAUU